UACAGAGGGGGCAAGCGUUGUUCGGAAUUACUGGGCGUAAAGGGCGCGUAGGCGGCCUUCUAAGUCGAACGUGAAAUCCCCGGGCUCAACCCGGGAACUGCGUCCGAUACUGGAAGGCUUGAAUCCGGGAGAGGGAUGCAGAAUUCCAGGUGUAGCGGUGAAAUGCGUAGAUAUCACACAGAACACCGAUUGCGAAGGCAGCUGGCCAACUUGUAACUGACGCUGAGGGACGAAAGUGUGGGGAUCAAACAGG
Molecule: ribosomal RNA, 253 nt
Filed under: uncultured bacterium
Lineage: Bacteria
Description: partial 16S ribosomal RNA
Rfam family: Bacterial small subunit ribosomal RNA
Source: RNAcentral